Molecule: long non-coding RNA, 358 nt
Organism: Clupea harengus (Atlantic herring)
Lineage: Eukaryota; Metazoa; Chordata; Actinopteri; Clupeiformes; Clupeidae
Source: Ensembl
GCUAACAUAGGCAUGGUUCCUCUACCGGUCACAGUAACAUUUACCUUCCCAACAAAACCUGGGAACUACGUUGAAAUUCCAAGCUACAAUAUUUCACAACUUAAGGACAAUUACACCAUACAGUGCAGUCCCCCUCAGGAGACAAUUACUCAGAACUGUUCUAAGAUGGAAAGCUGCAAGAUGGUUGAGUGUCACAUUCCCACAUUAGACAGGUCUGAGUCAGUUCUGUUCACACUGACUGUGAGUGCAGCCUUCAACCUCAAUCCCAAUAAAUAUACAUUCACUGAAAUGAGGUAUAAGGACUACAAAAGUUUUGUGGAAAUCGGCUAUAAUAAAACACGUUACAAACAGACUGGAA